Molecule: long non-coding RNA, 227 nt
Filed under: Homo sapiens (human)
Lineage: Eukaryota; Metazoa; Chordata; Mammalia; Primates; Hominidae
Description: HSALNT0282889
Source: RNAcentral
CAUCUCAAAAGCAACUUAGUGCUGAACUCAGUGCCCCAGGUUGCUGUCUUUCUGGGUGUUCUGUGUGAAUAGCAGCACCAUUACCUGGUGGUAAUCCUUAGAUAUCCCUCUCCCUGCCUUAUCAGUAGUCAGUCCCCAAGUCCUGUGCAUGCCAGAUCAUUUGUGUCUCUUUAACCCCUUUCUUUUCCAUCCCAGACAGUCACAAAAUGGAAGCCAUGUGGUAUGGG